Peromyscus leucopus (white-footed mouse) is the source of this 448-nucleotide long non-coding RNA. RefSeq lists it as uncharacterized. The record is from RefSeq and is a predicted model, not a curated record. The transcript has 2 exons. Lineage: Eukaryota; Metazoa; Chordata; Mammalia; Rodentia; Cricetidae.
CUGGUGCAAGGCAGUGGUGGGAGUAGACUGCCCGGGAAACUGAGGCCAAAGCAUGUAAGAUCCUGCCCAUCCACAGAUUCACUCUGUCUAGCAAUCCUGAGUCUAAAAACAUCUCCACAGAACAGUUGUGCUUGCUGGAAUGCUAUUAUUGUCACAUAGGUGCUACUGUGCAGUGAAGAUGCGCUACCUUUUCUUAGCAUGUCUCUUCCUUGGCCUGCUGCCCAACUCAGGAAGUGAAGAUGUUCAUGAAGUAACUAGUACCCUGGACUGUAAAAAUUACAUGUUGUGUAAUUCUGAAAAUGCAAGUGGAUACUGCUCUGAUGUUCAGAAGGUGGGGCUGUGUGUCUUGCGUAUUAGUCAAACUCAACAGCAACAGUUGCUAAAGAAAUAGAAAACCAAGAAUGCAAGAUGAUCAACUCCUGUGAAGCAUUAAAUUAGGAAGCCUGUU